RNAcentral lists this long non-coding RNA (1330 nucleotides) under Ananas comosus (pineapple). RNAcentral describes it as "long non-coding RNA (ACOM_LNC041524)". Lineage: Eukaryota; Viridiplantae; Streptophyta; Magnoliopsida; Poales; Bromeliaceae. The record is from RNAcentral.
UUGAUUAAAAUGAAUUAUAAAGAGGAUAAAGAGGUAUAAACGGAAGCAAAAGGGAUAAAAAUCUAUUGUUCCAGUUUGUUCUUUAUAAUACGGGGGAGCACUAAGCCUGGAAUAAGAUUGAUAUCCUAUUUUGAAUGAUGUUUGGAGCAAGAAUUAAAGUGUCGUGACACGGAAUCGUGCCGAAAAUUUAUCGGCACGGUAUAUAUUGGAUCAUGUCGAUGUAUGUCGGUCAUAAAAAUUCAUGUGUACCGACACAUAAUAACAUAAAAUAUAUAUAUAUUUUUUAGCAAUAAAAUAUUCUAAUUGUUUGUUAUGUAUUUUUAUCAAAUUUUUUAAAGUUUAUUAAAAAAAUUACUUAGUAAUUUAAAGAAUAAAAAGUUUUGAACUGUAACAUCGAUACGAGAGCACGAUACGAUACGGUAAAUACGGUCAAUAAAGAACUUAAAUCCUUGGUUUGGCGGAUAAAGAGAGAUAUUUCUCUCACAAGAGGAUAUUUUCGUAACGAAACAUAGCCUGAACCACAAAUAUGGAGCGGACGGUGCGGAUUAUGUACGGACGCAUUGUUGCAGGGCGAUGAUCUGUCGAACAAAUUACUGCUACUUCUGUUCAGACACGUGACAUCCUAGCCCGACUACCAAGUGAAGAGGAUACGAGAAUUCCUACCCCAUUCCUCUCCACAACGAUCGAGGAUUUUCCCUAAUAAAUUUACAACGAUCGAGGAUUUUCCCUAAUAAAUUAAGGACUUAUUUGGUUCAUCCAUUUUGGGUAUAGAAUGAAAAUCGGUUUGAUCAAAUCCGGUUAAUUUUGUCUGAUUUGCAUGAAUCGGUUUGGGAUUCCUAUUCCGGACUGGAAUGGGAAUUGCCCAUUAGCCUUCAACUUGAUUCCGGUCUUUUAGCCCGGAUUGAAAUUUCAUUCCGGAAGCCCAAAGCCCAUGUGACCAUCUCACCCUCCUUCUCUUCACCCCUUUCUCAUCAAACAAAAAAAAAUCUAUCUUCUCUCAAAAUUCUAUCCCUAACCCACAUCAAUAAAAAUUUUUAAAAAUAAAUUUGAUAUUUUUUAAAAAAAACUUAUUAGAAAAUAGUAUUAUAUUUUUAUAAAUUUUAAAUAAUAUAAAUUUAAAUUUGAAAGUAAAAUUAGUAUUAUAGUAUUUUAUAACUUUUUUAGUUUACAUGAACUAAACAAUGAAACUUGAAUAACUCAUUCUAAUUCCCAAUGCACAAAUAAACCAAACGUUUUGGGGGAGUGGGUCAUUCCAAUUAUCAUUCCAAUUCAUUCUUAUUUCAUUAUCCAUUUCAAUUCCAUCAUUGAACCAAAGGAGCCCUAAUUGUAU